RNAcentral lists this long non-coding RNA (217 nucleotides) under Olea europaea subsp. europaea. The record is from RNAcentral. Lineage: Eukaryota; Viridiplantae; Streptophyta; Magnoliopsida; Lamiales; Oleaceae.
GAUAAUAGCCCCCUAUCAAGAGGGGUCACGAUUAUUUUAUUACGUGUGGGUGAGGGGGCACCACGAAUGUACAAACAGUAAAAUCCUAAUAUAUAAUAGACAAUAAAAAAAAAAAAAAAAAAGCAAGGAAAGAUGAGGUAAAUAUAUCUUUAGUUCAGUACUCUACACUGUUUUUGUUUGUUUUGCAAGCAUAUACAUAACUUUUUCUUAUUUUUCA